UCCGUAGGUGAACCUGCGGAAGGAUCAUUACUGUGAUUUAGUACUACACUGCGUGAGCGGAACGAAAACAACAACACCUAAAAUGUGGAAUAUAGCAUAUAGUCGACAAGAGAAAUCUACGAAAAACAAACAAAACUUUCAACAACGGAUCUCUUGGUUCUCGCAUCGAUGAAGAGCGCAGCGAAAUGCGAUACCUAGUGCGAAUUGCAGCCAUCGUGAAUCAUCGAGUUCUUGAACGCACAUUGCGCCCCUCGGCAUUCCGGGGGGCAUGCCUGUUUGAGCGUCGUUUCCAUCUUGCGCGUGCGCAGAGUUGGGGGAGCGGAGCGGACGACGUGUAAAGAGCGUCGGAGCUGCGACUCGCCUGAAAGGGAGCGAAGCUGGCCGAGCGAACUAGACUUUUUUUCAGGGACGCUUGGCGGCCGAGAGCGAGUGUUGCGAGACAACAAAAAGCUCGACCUCAAAUCAGGUAGGAAUACCCGCUGAACUUAAGCAUAUCAAUAAGCGGAGGA
RNAcentral lists this ribosomal RNA (509 nucleotides) under Pichia kudriavzevii. RNAcentral's name for it is "eukaryotic LSU rRNA". The stretch from base 134 to 286 matches the Rfam family "5.8S ribosomal RNA". Lineage: Eukaryota; Fungi; Ascomycota; Pichiomycetes; Pichiales; Pichiaceae. The record is from RNAcentral.